UACGUAGGCAGCAAGCGUUGUUCGGAAUUACUGGGCGUAAAGAGUGUGUAGGCGGUGCUCUAAGUUCGGUGUGAAAUCUCCCGGCUUAACUGGGAGGGUGCGCCGGAAACUGGAGUGCUCGAGCGUGGGAGAGGAAAGCGGAAUUCCUGGUGUAGCGGUGAUAUGCGUAGAUAUCAGGAGGAACACCUGCGGUGUAGACGGCUUUCUGGACCAUUGCUGACGCUGAGACACGAAAGCGUGGGUAGCAAACAGG
RNAcentral lists this ribosomal RNA (253 nucleotides) under uncultured bacterium. RNAcentral describes it as "partial 16S ribosomal RNA". It matches the Rfam family "Bacterial small subunit ribosomal RNA", at positions 524 to 776 of the family's 1533-position model. The record is from RNAcentral.